This 77-nucleotide transfer RNA is filed under the name Mesorhizobium sp. CJ3. RNAcentral's name for it is "tRNA-Phe". It matches the Rfam family "tRNA". Rfam says of the family: Transfer RNA (tRNA) molecules are approximately 80 nucleotides in length. Their secondary structure includes four short double-helical elements and three loops (D, anti-codon, and T loops). The record is from RNAcentral. Lineage: Bacteria; Pseudomonadati; Pseudomonadota; Alphaproteobacteria; Hyphomicrobiales; Phyllobacteriaceae.
GCCCAGAUAGCUCAGUUGGUAGAGCAGCGGACUGAAAAUCCGCGUGUCGGUGGUUCGAAUCCGCCUCUGGGCACCAU